This 504-nucleotide ribosomal RNA is filed under the name uncultured bacterium. RNAcentral describes it as "partial 16S ribosomal RNA". It matches the Rfam family "Bacterial small subunit ribosomal RNA", at positions 30 to 523 of the family's 1533-position model. The record is from RNAcentral.
AUUGAACGCUGGCGGCACGCCUAACACAUGCAAGUCGAGCGGCAGCAUGCUUAGUAGCAAUACUAAGUGAUGGCGAGCGGCGGACGGGUGAGGAACACGUAGGAACCUGCCCAAGAGAGGGGGAUAACUAAGGGAAACUUUAGCUAAUACCGCAUAAUCUCUGGCGAGAAAAGUUGCCCGUAAGGGUAGCGCUUUUGGAGGGGCCUGCGUCCGAUUAGUUAGUUGGUGAGGUAAUGGCUCACCAAGACGAUGAUCGGUAACUGGUCUGAGAGGACGACCAGUCACACUGGGACUGAGACACGGCCCAGACUCCUACGGGAGGCAGCAGUGGGGAAUCUUGGACAAUGGGGGCAACCCUGAUCCAGCGAUGCCGCGUGGGUGAAGAAGGCCUUCGGGUUGUAAAGCCCUUUAGGCUGGGAAGAAGGGUAUGGGGUGAAUAACUCUGUACUUUGACGGUACCAGCAGAAUAAGCACCGGCAAACUCUGUGCCAGCAGCCGCCGUAA